RNAcentral lists this ribosomal RNA (402 nucleotides) under uncultured bacterium. Its description in RNAcentral is "partial 16S ribosomal RNA". It matches the Rfam family "Bacterial small subunit ribosomal RNA", at positions 359 to 776 of the family's 1533-position model. The record is from RNAcentral.
GAUCUUGCGACGAUGGGCGAAAGCCUGACGCAGCAACGCCGCGUGCGGGAGGACGGCCUUCGGGUUGUAAACCGCUUUUCGGGGGGAAGAGGAAGGACGGUACCCCCGGAAGCAGUCUCGGCCAACUACGUGCCAGCGGCCGUGGGAAAACGUAGGAGGCGAGCGUUAUCCGGAGUUCCUGGGUGUAAAGCGCGUGUAGGCGGGCCCGCAAGUGGUGCGUGAAAGCGCCCGGCUCAACCGGGCGAGGACGUGGGCGAACUGCAGGGCUAGAGGCAGGUAGAGGCGUGUGGAAUUCCGGGUGUAGUGGUGAAAUGCGUAGAGAUCCGGAGGAACACCAGUGGCGAAGGCGACACGCUGGGCCUGGCCUGACGCUGAGAGGCGAAAGCAUGGGGAGCAAACAGG